Molecule: transfer RNA, 77 nt
Filed under: Clostridiales bacterium
Lineage: Bacteria; Bacillati; Bacillota; Clostridia; Eubacteriales
Also listed under: 2 other names
Description: tRNA-Arg
Rfam family: tRNA
About the family: Transfer RNA (tRNA) molecules are approximately 80 nucleotides in length. Their secondary structure includes four short double-helical elements and three loops (D, anti-codon, and T loops).
Source: RNAcentral
GUACCCGUAGCUCAGCCGGAUAGAGCAACUGCCUUCUAAGCAGUAGGUCGUGGGUUCGAGUCCCCCCGGGUACGCCA